GACGAACGCUGGCGGCGCGCCUAACACAUGCAAGUCGAACGAGCGAGAGAGAGCUUGCUUUUCUCGAGCGAGUGGCGAACGGGUGAGUAACGCGUGAGGAACCUGCCUCAAAGAGGGGGACAACAGUUGGAAACGACUGCUAAUACCGCAUAAGCCCACGACCCGGCAUCGGGUUGAGGGAAAAGGAGCAAUCCGCUUUGAGAUGGCCUCGCGUCCGAUUAGCUGUUGGUGAGGUAACGGCCCACCAAGGCACGAUCGGUAGCCGGACUGAGAGGUUGAACGGCCACAUUGGGACUGAGACACGGCCCAG
This 310-nucleotide ribosomal RNA is filed under the name uncultured bacterium. Its description in RNAcentral is "bacterial SSU rRNA". It matches the Rfam family "Bacterial small subunit ribosomal RNA", at positions 28 to 334 of the family's 1533-position model. The record is from RNAcentral.